Molecule: microRNA precursor, 121 nt
Filed under: Xyrichtys novacula (pearly razorfish)
Lineage: Eukaryota; Metazoa; Chordata; Actinopteri; Labriformes; Labridae
Source: RNAcentral
UUUGUUGAACUUGAGUUUGUGUGUUUUUUGAACUUGAGUUUGGUGUUUCUGAACUUGAGUUUCUGGCUCAAAAACGCCACAAACUCAAGUUCAAACACGACACAAACUCAAGUUCAACAAA